RNAcentral lists this ribosomal RNA (433 nucleotides) under uncultured bacterium. RNAcentral's name for it is "partial 16S ribosomal RNA". It matches the Rfam family "Bacterial small subunit ribosomal RNA", at positions 29 to 507 of the family's 1533-position model. The record is from RNAcentral.
AACGAACGCUGGCGGCAUGCCUAACACAUGCAAGUCGAACGAGACCUUCGGGUCUAGUGGCGCACGGGUGCGUAACGCGUGGGAACCUGCCCUUAGGUUCGGAAUAACUCCCCGAAAGGGGUGCUAAUACCGGAUAAUGUCUUCGGACCAAAGAUUUAUCGCCUUUGGAUGGGCCCGCGUUGGAUUAGCUAGUUGGUAGGGUAAAAGCCUACCAAGGCGACGAUCCAUAGCUGGUCUGAGAGGAUGAUCAGCCACACUGGGACUGAGACACGGCCCAGACUCCUACGGGAGGCAGCAGUGGGGAAUAUUGGACAAUGGGCGAAAGCCUGAUCCAGCAAUGCCGCGUGAAUGAUGAAGGCCUUAGGGUUGUAAAGCUCUUUUACCCGGGAUGAUAAUGACGGUACCGGGAGAAUAAGCUCCGGCUAACUCCGUG